GAACGCAUCUUGCGCUCCUUGGUAUUCCGAGGAGCAUGCCUGUUUGAGUGUCAUUUUAACUUCUCAACCAUAUCGAAUUGUUUUUCGAGGUGGCUUGGACAUGGGGGUUUUUGCAGGCUUCAAUAAUGAAGUCGGCUCCUCUGAAACACAUUAGUGGUAUCUGAAGCAGAACUGCUACUAUUAGGUGUGAUAAUUAUCUAUGCCUCUUGGUAUACUGCAUGAACAGAUUGCGCUGCUUCCAACUUGUACACCCUUUGGUGUUUGACAAAUUUGACCUCAAAUCAGGUAGGACUACCCGCUGAACUUA
Molecule: unclassified non-coding RNA, 307 nt
Filed under: Inocybe hirtella
Lineage: Eukaryota; Fungi; Basidiomycota; Agaricomycetes; Agaricales; Inocybaceae
Description: sequence contains 5.8S rRNA gene
Rfam family: 5.8S ribosomal RNA (bases 1-53)
Source: RNAcentral